RNAcentral lists this unclassified non-coding RNA (206 nucleotides) under soil metagenome. Its description in RNAcentral is "partial internal transcribed spacer 1". The record is from RNAcentral.
AAAGAUAUAGCAUAUUCCUUCUGAAUAUACUUUAUUAACCCAUUCACGAAGUACCUUACCCGUUGCUAAUCCGCCGAGGCUGUAUCCUCAUCGAGUGCCCUCUGAAGAUUUAUGCUUUGGGGAAGUCCCUUGCGGAAAGGUAUACAAUAAAACAUCUGUGCAUUACCAAUGUCAAUCUGUCUAGAAUCUGUUUAAAACAAAUAUUA